RNAcentral lists this ribosomal RNA (238 nucleotides) under uncultured bacterium. RNAcentral describes it as "partial 16S ribosomal RNA". It matches the Rfam family "Bacterial small subunit ribosomal RNA", at positions 532 to 769 of the family's 1533-position model. The record is from RNAcentral.
GGACGAGCGUUGUCCGGAAUGACUGGGCGUAAAGGGCGCGUAGGCGGUUUAUUAAGUCUGAUGUGAAAGGUACCGGCUCAACCGGUGAAGUGCAUUGGAAACUGGUAGACUUGAGUAUUGGAGAGGCAAGUGGAAUUCCUAGUGUAGCGGUGAAAUGCGUAGAUAUUAGGAGGAACACCAGUGGCGAAGGCGGCUUGCUGGACAAAUACUGACGCUGAGGUGCGAAAGCGUGGGGAGC